RNAcentral lists this ribosomal RNA (325 nucleotides) under uncultured bacterium. Its description in RNAcentral is "bacterial SSU rRNA". It matches the Rfam family "Bacterial small subunit ribosomal RNA", at positions 28 to 334 of the family's 1533-position model. The record is from RNAcentral.
GAUGAACGCUGGCGGCGUGCCUAACACAUGCAAGUCGAGCGAAGCGCCUUACUUGAUUUCUUCGGGAUGAAAGUAUUGUGACUGAGCGGGCGACGGGUGAGUAACGCGUGGAGUAACCUGCCUCAUACAGGGGGAUAACAGUUAGAAAUGACUGCUAAUACCGCAUAAGACCACAGCACCGCAUGGUGCAGGGGUAAAAACUCCGGUGGUAUGAGAUGGAUCCGCGUCUGAUUAGCUAGUUGGUAAGGUAAUGGCUUACCAAGGCAACGAUCAGUAGCCGACCUGAGGGGGUGACCGGCCACAUUGGGACUGAGACGCGGCCCAA